AGAAUCAACGCUGGCGGCGUGCCUAACACAUGCAAGUCGAACGAGAAAGUGGUCGCAAGACCAUGAGUAAAGUGGCGCACGGGUGAGUAACACGUGACUAACCUACCCUUGAGUGGGGGAUAACUGAGGGAAACCUUAGCUAAUACCGCAUAAUACCUACGGGUCAAAGGAGCAAUUCGCUCGAGGAGGGGGUCGCGGCCGAUUAGUUAGUUGGCAGGGUAAUGGCCUACCAAGACGAUGAUCGGUAUCCGGCCUGAGAGGGCGCACGGACACACUGGAACUGAAACACGGUCCAGACUCCUACGGGAGGCAGCAGUGGGGAAUUUUGCGCAAUGGGGGAAACCCUGACGCAGCAACGCCGCGUGGAGGAUGAAGUCCUUCGGGACGUAAACUCCUUUCGAUCGGGACGAUUAUGACGGUACCGGAAGAAGAAGCCCCGGCUAACUUCGUGCCAGCAGCCGC
RNAcentral lists this ribosomal RNA (462 nucleotides) under uncultured bacterium. RNAcentral describes it as "SSU rRNA". It matches the Rfam family "Bacterial small subunit ribosomal RNA", at positions 26 to 518 of the family's 1533-position model. The record is from RNAcentral.